AUAAAAUUUGAAUUUUUUUUGGUGUAGUCGUUUAUGUUGGUUGCACCGCUUUUUUGUGUCAGAAGAAAUUUUUUUUUUGUCAUGCCAUUGAUGUUGGUUGCACCCUUUUCUUUUUUCUUUUUGUCUUGCCAUUGAUAUUGGCUGCACCCAUUUAAUUGUGUUUUGAAUUUUUUUUGAUCAUAUCAUUGAUUUGCAUCGGGGCAUUUUUGUUAGAAAAUUUUGAAUGGAAAUUAAAAAGAAAAGUUAUAGGGCAAGAAAUGAUAAAAGGAGGAUGGAAAAUAAAAAAUAAUAAUGAAAAUGAAACUGGAAAUGAGAAAAAAUAAUGGAAGAAG
This 332-nucleotide long non-coding RNA is filed under the name Gossypium raimondii (Peruvian cotton). RNAcentral describes it as "long non-coding RNA (GRAI_LNC000705)". Lineage: Eukaryota; Viridiplantae; Streptophyta; Magnoliopsida; Malvales; Malvaceae. The record is from RNAcentral.